RNAcentral lists this long non-coding RNA (698 nucleotides) under Nilaparvata lugens (brown planthopper). RNAcentral describes it as "uncharacterized LOC120353790, transcript variant X1". Lineage: Eukaryota; Metazoa; Arthropoda; Insecta; Hemiptera; Delphacidae. The record is from RNAcentral.
CUUUAAAGCAAGAGAGUCCAUACUUGGAAUGUUCCAGAAAGCUCUUCCACCGUUUGAAAUGAAUCAAAAGGAAACUAUUCAUCUGGAAACUAUAGCUGCUUUGGGUGGCUUCGGGAAAUGUGUUGCUGAAUUGUUGUUAUGAGCAUCCAAGCUCCAACUGUGACAGUCUGCUGUCUGCUGUCUUCCACCAAUGCGGGAUGAAGGAACUCGCUUCAAACUUGAAAUGAUGACCCAUUCUCCACCAUGAAAUCUGGAAGUGAGCUUUCUAUAUUACAUACGAAGGAGUGUGGAGUGAAGUCUCGGCAUAAUGAUAUGUAGAGCUUAUGAUAUGGUACCUAUAAUGAAGUACCGUUAUCAUCUUCAUCUUUGGUCUCCUUGGCCCAACAUGUUCACGAUGGUUGUGAAGGAAACGAAGCCAUGAGAUUGCACCCCGCUGAUGCAACUUGAGUUGCAUGGCAUGGGUAAACGCCAUCAAAAAUGAACGGCCCAUGAUAAAGGUCAACUUGUUCACGCGAGGUGAUUCGAUAGAUAACUAUAAGGAUGUUUUGCACUGAUUUGAUACCCAUCGGAUCUGUUACAGGCUGUUAAAAUGAGAUAAUGAGAAUGCUAAGUGGACAAGGUAGAGCUGAAAAUUUGUGGUAAGUCCAUCAAUAAAAUACAUGCACUGAUGCUGUGAUUACAUUUUGAUUAUAAAAACA